This 160-nucleotide ribosomal RNA is filed under the name Hypocreales sp. RNAcentral's name for it is "partial large subunit ribosomal RNA". It matches the Rfam family "Eukaryotic large subunit ribosomal RNA", at positions 99 to 258 of the family's 3401-position model. The record is from RNAcentral. Lineage: Eukaryota; Fungi; Ascomycota; Sordariomycetes; Hypocreales.
CGGCAUCAGCUCAAAUUUGAAAUCUGGCUCUUUCAGGGUCCGAGUUGUAAUUUGCAGAGGGAGCUUUCGAGUUGGCAGCGGUCUAAGUUCCUUGGAACGGGACGCCAUAGAGGGUGAGAGCCCCGUAUAGUUGGAUGCCAAGCCUUUGUAAAGCUCCUUC